Molecule: transfer RNA, 72 nt
Filed under: Cladocarpesium abrotanoides
Lineage: Eukaryota; Viridiplantae; Streptophyta; Magnoliopsida; Asterales; Asteraceae
Also listed under: 3 other names
Description: Carpesium abrotanoides tRNA-Thr
Rfam family: tRNA
About the family: Transfer RNA (tRNA) molecules are approximately 80 nucleotides in length. Their secondary structure includes four short double-helical elements and three loops (D, anti-codon, and T loops).
Source: RNAcentral
UUUAUUUUAACUCAGUGGUAGAGUAAUCCCCUGGUAAGGCGUAAACCCUCGGUUCAAAUCCGAUAAGAUAAG